UACAUGUGGGGCAAGCGUUGUUCGGAAUUACUGGGCAUAAAGGGUGCGUAGGCGGCUUGUUAAGUCAGGGGUGAAAUCCCACGGCCCAACCGUGGAACUGCCUUUGAUACUGGCGAUCUUGAGUCCGGGAGAGGUGAGUGGAACUGCGAGUGUAGAGGUGAAAUUCGUAGAUAUUCGCAAGAACACCAGUGGCGAAGGCGGCUCACUGGCCCGGUACUGACGCUGAGGUGCGAAAGCGUGGGGAGCAAACAGG
RNAcentral lists this ribosomal RNA (253 nucleotides) under uncultured bacterium. Its description in RNAcentral is "partial 16S ribosomal RNA". It matches the Rfam family "Bacterial small subunit ribosomal RNA", at positions 524 to 776 of the family's 1533-position model. The record is from RNAcentral.